Carya illinoinensis is the source of this 8321-nucleotide RNA transcript. It is a transcript of the gene named MADS-box protein AGL42-like, with no coding region annotated. The transcript has 2 exons. NCBI's taxonomy places the organism in Eukaryota, Viridiplantae, Streptophyta, Magnoliopsida, Fagales, Juglandaceae. The record is from RefSeq and is a predicted model, not a curated record.
UUUAUCUUGGAAUUAGCAAGAAAAAUACUCGGUGUCGUGUUAUUAAUGAAAAGAAUAGUAUUGCUCACUUCAUAAUGAUUUGAUAAAUUGUUAAGCCUGCCAUCAACAACAACCAGAAAAAUGAUGCUGCUGAAACUUUCUUACACAUGCUUUGUUUUUAGCCCUUUGAGUAACUGUUUAGUUAAGCUCAAUAAUCAUGUCUUUUUUCAUGGGUUUAUAUCAUAUAUGUGAUAUCAUGGAAUAUAAAGAAGUGUUAAAUUUCCACAAUGAGUUGAUAGAUAAUGGGAGAUGUUUAGGCAUGUGCUAAAUCCUACAUAGGUUGUUUACCAUGCAGAAUUAAGCUUUGAUGAUGAUUAUAAGAAAGUCUAACUAUAUUUAUGACUAAUUUUGGGGAGGAAUCACACUAGAGGUGAGAGGUAGCUCCAAUGGUAAUUUUGACAAGUUAUUUUAAAAUAUCAGAUAGAUAUUGUGGAUAAUCUUUCCCUAGUCAUGAAAACAUAUGCUACAUGAAGGGUGAGAUGAGUAGGUUUUGGAAGUAUAGAUAUCUGUGGUAUAAUCUAGCAAAAGGUGACAUAAUGAGAGAAUAAGUGCUUCACUUUGGUCCUAUUUUUGUUUGUGUGAUUCGUGUGGCAAAGCAUUCUCAAUUCACUCCUUGUAACAAGGUGAUUGGAGCUAGGCUGGUGACUAGGGAAUCACCAGCAACUUGGAGGCGCAGGAGGAGGAGGAGAGUAAUUGAUUCGGGAGGAAGAGCUUUGGGAGUUUAGGGCUCCCUUUGGCUGGGCUCGUGGGUCAGUUAGGCUUGGCUCAUGGGCCAUGGAUUUGGGUACUUUGAGUCAAUUGUAAUAAACUGAAUUAAUACGGGCUGGGCUUAGUACAGUACAUUGUUGUGAGCCCUCUAUGCAAGGACGUAGCGUGAUUAGUAUGUCUGUUAUUUUCCUUUGUUAUGAGUAUUGUAGCCUUAGCUUUACUGCAAGGUAGUUACAAUUCUGGAAGCAUAAAGCUUCUGUGGGUGGGAUGAUUCCCGAUUAUCGAAUAUUCCAAUACAACAGAAUUUAUUCUUCUUUUUCUUUCUUGCUCUGGAGGUCCUCACCCUCGAAGUGAGUCUUUACUUUUUUCUAAAUUCCAGCAGGCGUAUAACAAUUGGUAUCAGAGCCAGGUUCUCCUUGGCUGCUUCAUUGACGAUGGUGGAAGGUACUAGAAUGAACCAGUUGUAGGAUGGCUUGAAUGGGUUGAAGAAGUCCAUAGAAUCACAAUUUAAGACCUUGGAAACAUAGGUGUUGGCAUUGAAAAGGCAAUCUGAUGCAGUGGUCUAGCAGCUCGCAGCAUUGACAUUGGAACUGCAAAAGAAGAAUGCGGGGUAUCAGCACCAAGAAGAAUCUUCAUCAAGAACACGUCAUAGGCAGGAGGAUACGGGGUAGAACAAUGGUGAGUUAAUUACAAGGUCAGUAAGGUUGGAGUUUCCUUCUUUCUGUGGGGAGGACCCUUUAACUUGGCUGUAUAAAGCCAACCAGUUUUUCAUAUUCUAUAAUACAUUACCCAACCAGAAACUUAGAUUAGCAACCUUUCACAUGGAAGGGAAGGCUAUGGUGUGGCUUCAGGAUAUGGAGAUUUCAGGGUCCAUAACAGAUUGGGAAGGCUUUGUUAGGGCUUUCCUCAUUAGGUUUGGCCCUAGCACAUAUGAUGAUCCUAUGGAAUCCCUAACUAAGCUAAGGCAAACUGGGUCAAUAGAAGAGUAUAAGGAGGAGUUUGAAAAUCUGUCCAAUAGAUUGCUUAGGCUGCCAAAUCCAUCUAAGCUAAGUUGCUUCCUAAGUGGAUUAAGAGAUGAGAUUAGACUAUCGAUUAAAAUGUUUAAUCCACCUGAUCUUCUAACAGCCUUCAGUUUGGCUAAGAUUCAAGAAAAGUUGGUGAGAGUUGGCAAAAAGGUUUUCAGAAACCCCUCGGUUGGAAUGGUGGAAUCCAGUCAAUUUGAAGGAGGUGGUCACCAGGCUGGACAGAAUGUCAGUAAGGCCAUAGUGCCUAUGCAAAAAAUUAAUUCAGGGCAAAUGAAGGAAAGAAGAGAGCGAGGGCUGUGUUAUUAUUGUGAUUCCAAGUGGAAUCCGCGGCAUAAGUGUAAAAGUCCCAAACUGUUCCUUAUAGAAGAGGUGGUGGAUGAAGAAGAAGAAAAAGAUGGAGAAAAAGAGGUAGUAAAUCUGGUGGAGGAAGGAAAAGAAUUAGUGGAGCUUACGGAAGUGGGCAAGAAGCCUAAACUAUCAUUACAUGCCUUACUUGGGUCCAAUAACCCAAAGACUACGAGGAUAAAAGGGAAGUUGGCUGGUCAGUGGGUAGUUGUCCUAAUUGAUUCGGGCAGCACUCACAACCUCAUUGACACUGCGACAAGAAGAAAGUGUCGGCUGAAGGUUUGCAAUGAGGACACAAUGAAGGUGAAGUUGGCUAAUGGUGCAGGAGUAAGGGAGUGCAGAUUAAAAUCCAAGAAAAAUCAUUCACUAUGGAUUUUUUCUUGCUGGAGUUAGUGGGGUGUGAUGUUGUCUUAGGGGUUCAAUGGCUACAAACUCUGGGCACUAUCUCAUGGAACUUUAAAAAACUUACCAUGCAAUUUAACCAUCUUGAGCAGGAGGUUCUGUUGUAGGGAAUGAUGUCCACAUAGCUACUGGAGGAGAGUUCCUGUAGUGAACUCUGCAAGUUAGAGAAGAAGGGAACAAUACUACAAUUAAUCAAUGAACCAGAGAUCAGUACCCCUACGCAGAAGUGCCCCCAGAAGGUUAAAAAAAUGUUGGACCAGUUUCAUGAUGUUUUCCAAGAACCAAAAGGGUUGCCACCAUGUAGGGAGCAAGACCAUGCAAUCAACUUGUUGUUAGGAACACAGCCAAUGUCAGUGAGACCAUACAUGUACCUUUUUUUCCAAAAGAAUGAGAUUGAGAGAAUCAUUAAGGAGCUUUUGAAUUCUGAGGUAAUCCGGCCCAGUCAAAGUCCUUAUUUAUCCCUUGUUUUAUUGGUAAGAAAGGCUGAUGGUACAAGGAGAAUGUGUGUGGAUUAUAGAGCCUUGAACCAAGUAACUGUAAAAGAUAAAUUUCCCAUUCCUGUAGUAAAGGAGUUGCUGGAUGAAUUAAAUGGGUCUAAGGUGUUUUCUAAACUAAAUUUGAGAUCCGGUUACCACCAGAUUAGAGUGAAGCCUGAAGACAUACAUAAAACAGCUUUCCGAACCCAAGAAGGCCACUAUGAGUUCUUAGUCAUGCCCUUUGGGCUGACUAAUGCCCCAGCUACCUUUCAGAAUUUGAUGAAUGAAGUUUUUAGAACUUUUUUGAGAAAAUUUGUGUUGGUAUUCUUUGAUGACAUCCUAAUCUAUAGUAAGGAUGAGGAGGAACAUUUACAGCACUUACGGGUAAUCUUAGAGACCUUGAGGAAGCAUCAGUUAUUUGCUAAAGGGUCUAAGUGCUGUUUUGCAAGCUUGGAGGUGGGAUAUUUGGACCAUUUAAUUUCGGCUCAGGGGGUAAGAACUGAUCCUGAAAAAUUAAAGGCCAUGGUGGAAUGGCCAAAACCCUAGUCCAUAAAGUCCUUGAGGGGCUUCCUUGGGUUGACAGGGUAUUAUAGGAGAUUUAUAAAGAAUUAUGGAGUGUUGGCUUCCCCAUUAACAGCACUGCUUAAAAAGGAUAAUUUUCAUUGGGGGGAGGCAACGGAUGAAGCUUUUGUAAGAUUGAAACAGGCUGUGAGCAGCCCAUCAGUGCUAGCCCUUCCUGAUUUUACCAAGAAGUUCGUGAUAGAAUGUGAUGUCUCGGGUAAGGGAAUUGGGGCUGUACUCAUGCAACAAGGACGGCCCAUAUCUUUUUUCAGCCAAGCACUCAAGGGGAGGGCCCUCUCCCUACCUACCUAUGAAAAAGAGUUGUAUUCUCUGGAUACAGCUAUUCAAAAUGGAGACCCUAACUUUUAGGCAGGUCUUUUGUGGUGAGAACUGACCACCAUAGCUUAAAAUACCUUCUAGAUCAGAAAAUUGGUACUCCAAUGCAGCAAAAGUGGUUGAGUAAAGUGAUGGGGUAUGACUUCGUGGUGGAGUUUAAAAAAAGGGCUGAAAACAGAGUUGCAGAUGCUCUAUCUAGACAAGGUGAGGAAGAAGAAUUUUCUGUGGCCCUACUAUCAGUACCGAGUUUAGAUUGGUUGGAAGAGAUUAAGGAAUGGUAUAAGGGUGAUCCUAGAGCCCUGGAAAUACUGUCCAAGUGCCAACAAGGUCAGGAACCUCAGCAUUAUUUGGUUAGGGAAGGUGUGCUAUACUACAAAGACAGGGUUUAUAUUGCUAGCAACUCGGAGUUAAAAGGAAGACACUUGGAAUUUUUACAUGGUAGUUCAUGGGGCGGCCAUUCGGGAAUGGAUAAAACCAUUCACAAGGUGACCCGAGAAUUUUAUUGGCCCAAAUUGAAAUCUGAGGUGAGGGCUUUUGUUAGGAAUUGUCCAAUUUGUCAGCAGCAAAAAACUGAUCAUACCCUUCCUAAUGGGUUGCUACAACCCCUUCCAGUACCCUCUCAACCAUGGACUCACCAUGGACUUCAUUGAGGGGUUACCAAAUGCUAGUGGGUUCAGUCUUUAUGGGUGGUGGUGGACCAUUUAACUAAGUACAGUCACUUUGUGCCCUUGGGACAUCCAUACACAACUAAGUCAGUAGCCCAGUUAUUUGUGAAACAUGUGUUCAAGCUUCAUGGAUUACCCCAAUCGAAUGUUUCAGAUCGGGACAGUACAUUCACUAGUAAUUUUUGGAGGGAGCUAUUUAAAGCUCAAGGGGCCAAACUAGAGUUUAGCAUGGCAUACCAUCAGCAGACAGACGGGCAAUCUGAGGCUGUGAACAAGAGCCUUGAAACUUAUUUGAGAUGUUUUGUAGGGGAUUGGCCGAAGGAUUGGGUCAGGUGGGUACCAUUAGCUGAGUGGUGGUAUAACACCACUCAACACACAUCUACAAGGCUCACACCCUUUGAGGCUUUAUAUGGUUACCAACAUCCCAAGCUCAUCUCAUACGUUCCAGGAACCACUAAGGCAGAGGAAGUUGAAAUUGAACGACACAACAUCAAUAGAGCCCAAGAAUGAAUGGUGAAAUAUGCUAAUUUAAAAAGGAAAGAGCAGACCUUUACCGUGGGAGAUUGGGUGUAUUUAAGGUUACAACCUUACCAACAAGUGUUUGUAUCAUAGCGACGGGAUUUGAAGUUAGCACCUCAUUUUUAUGGGCCAUUUCAGGUGGAGGCUAGGGUGGGUGAAGUAGCCUACAAACUGAAACUGCCGGCGUCUUCACAGAUACAUCCAGUGUUUCAUGUCUCACAGUUGAAGAGGAGCUUAGGGGACCGAGUGGUAGUUGCACCAGUACUGCCGCCAGUGAAUCAACAGGGAAUCCUGCAGUCGGAACUAGUAGAAAUAUUAAAUCGUAGGAUUCGGCCAGUGAACAACCGAACCGUGGUGGAAUUAUUGGUGAAAUGGCACGGACAAGAGGAAGAAGAUGCUACCUGGGAGAACUACUAUAAGCUGAAAGCGGCAUUUCCCCACCUUAAGGGCAAGGUGUUUUAAGGGGAGGGCAUUGUAACAAGGUGACCGGAGCUGAGGGUGGUGACCAGGGAAUCACUAGCAACUCGGAGGCGUAGCAAGAGGAGGAGAGUAAUUGAUUCGGGAGGCAAAGCUUUGGGAGUUUAGGGCUCUUUUUGGCCGGGCUCGUGGGUCAGUUGGGCUUGGCUCAUGGGCCAUGGAUUUGGGUACUUUAAGUCAAUUGUAAUAAACUGAAUUAAUACAGGUUGGGCUUCGUACAGUACAUUGUUGUGAGCCCUCUAUGCAAGGACUUAGCGUGAUUAGUAUGUCUGUUAUUUUCCUUUGUUACGAGUACUGUAGCCUUAGCUUUACUGCGAGGCAGUUACAAUUCUGGAAGCAUAUAGCUUCCGUGGGUGGGAUGAUUUCCGAUUAUCGAAUAUUCCAAUACAACAGAAUUUAUUCUUCUCUUUCUUUCUUGCUUUGGAGGUCCUCACCCUCAAAGUGAGUCUUUACUUUUUUCUAAAUUCCAGCAGGUGUAUAACACUCCAACUUGGAGAUCAGGUGACUUCCGAAGAUAGGGCCAAUUGGAAAUCUGCCGACGUUCACUAGCUUAAUAGGUGGGCUGAGUUUAGUAACAAUUAUAAUUAAGGGCUUGUUAUUGUGGAAGAAAUGCUUUGUGGUUGUAUACCGAUUAGAGAUCAUUGGCUACGCUCAAGGUUUGAAGGAAAAGUCAAUAUUGAUUUUGAUGAACAUUAGAUUGCGUUUCAACCAUGAUUUUAAACCUAUGAUUUUGAAAAGUUUAAAACCCUAGUCUGAAUCCAAAUCCAGAUUUAAUAUAUAAUCCACAUAUAAGGGAUUUGGAUUUUAAAGACCAAAUCCAAAUCCUUCUGAUCUCCAAACCCAGCCACCCCAACACAGUACCAUAAAAGAACUAUCUCUGGAACUUCUAGCUACACAGCAUUAAUGAUUGGAGUUAUGCUAUUGUUCAUUGGGGCAAAAGUACAGCAAAUAUUUAAUGAAUUUAAGGUCUGAUUGCCAGAGUGUAGGCGGGAGGAGUGCGUUUUGGGGUUGCCAAGGGGUGAUGAUAGCUAGGCAAGUUCAUGGUGUUGUGAACAGCAGCAGUUUGAGUUAAGAAGAAUAUGUAAUGCUGCUCAUAUUCAAUGUUAUGGUCUUAAGAGUUAAACUUUUAACCAAAUUAGUACUCAACAGUCUUAAGGCUUUUGGAUGAUCAAUAGUUGAGUUUUUAAUAACUGGUAUUAGAUUAGGGACUACGUCACGAGUUCAAUUCACGAAUGGGGCAACCUAUAGGCUAGAUUAAAAUCCCUUGGUACUAUGUAUGGACAUGGUAUUAAGUCAUUGAAUACUAAUAGAUGAGUAAAAUCGUCAAAAGGUAAAGGGCCAUUACCAGGUUAGUGUCAAUAGAGUAGGCCGCCAUGGAGUACCACACAACAUAGUUCAAAUACUCUGAAUGAAAUACAAAACAAAAAUCAUGUCCAUUUUGCAUAAAUUGUGUUUACAACAUAGAUAAUUUUAAAUUGUGUUUAGAAAAACAAAUAUUGUUCCUUUGAAUGAAGAACUUUGUAAAACAGUAUAAAACAUCGUUUAUAAAAGCUUAUGCUAAUAAUUUACUUUGAGGUUGCGUUUGGAUAGAAGAAUUCGGAUUUAGGUUUGAGUUGGAUUUGGAUUUCAAAUCGACCAUGAUUUUAAAUCUAAGAUUUUGAAAAGCUUAAAAUCUUGUUUAACUUUGAUGCAAAAAUUAACGAGAAAUUUGGAUUUUAAAGCCCUAAAUCCGAAUCCUCCUUCAAAUCUAUCCCAUCCAAAUGCACCAUAAAUGAAGAGCAAACUUCUCGCUUCGUAACUUUUAUUUAUAUUUUUUUAUUUUUUGGCAUAGAAUACCUUGUCAUCUGAAAUGAUGAGUUUGGAAUAUCUUUAGGAUUUAUUAGUUUUUUUUAAACAAACUUGCAUUGAAAUUAAAAGAGAAUACAAGAGUUGAGGGCGGGGGAACCCUGGCAAAAACCCUUUUACAGAAAUUGCAAUACAUGAUACAGGACCCGGUCCCUUUUUUCUUGGCCAAGCCAAGGAGGGGACCGCUACAAUAGCGGUUAUAAAAUCUAUCUGGUAGAUUUUUUGAAUCUGGUGGUGAUCUGCAUUGGUGAAAGAGGCACUGCAACCAUUUAUUCUAGAGUGGUCGAUGAAGAUCUUCAUAUCCAUUUUCUGUAGAUUCUUGGUUAAGGAAAGCUGAAACAUAACUGGACAGCUAGAAUCGGAUGGUCCAUAUUGCUAGUGGCUGUAUUUCGGAGGAACGUGCACUUGCUGGCAGGGAUGGGGCAAAGGGAUUUGAGAUCUGAAGGAUCUAGAGAUGGGGAAUCCAACUGUGCCGAUAGUGUGGUGGAAGGAUACCGGAAAAUGUGCCGAUGUAUUAAAAAGUCUCGUGGCUUGGGCAGCGCAUGCAUGCCAGGUGUCGGUUGUUUGGCAGCUCCUCCACCUGGGUUUUGAAGAUUGGCAGCUAGCUAGCACAGUGGUGGGGCAUGUGUGACAAUCCGAAGGCCGGAAUGCGACGAAUUGGACAUUUUCAAUCAAGUGGAAAAGGAAAGGAAAAAAAAAAAAGAGAAGAAAAAGAAAUUGUGGACUAGCUGGAGAAAAGAAAUUGGAAAAAGCCACUAUGUAGUGGCUGAGGAGGAGGAGAGGGAGGGGCUGGGGCUCCCCCUCCCUUCCAGCAAAGGUUUACGGUGGGUGUGGGUUAAAACUCUCUCUUGGGCACUCGGACUCUAGGGCUCUCUCUCUCUCAAGGAAAGCACUGUGAAUUGCGAAGCGAAACUGCCAUCAUG